This 401-nucleotide ribosomal RNA is filed under the name uncultured bacterium. RNAcentral describes it as "partial 16S ribosomal RNA". It matches the Rfam family "Bacterial small subunit ribosomal RNA", at positions 28 to 481 of the family's 1533-position model. The record is from RNAcentral.
GACGAACGCUGGCGGCAGGCCUAACACAUGCAAGUCGAACGCUCCGCAAGGGAGUGGCGCACGGGUGAGUAACACGUGGGAACCUACCUUCUGGUACGGAACAACCAAGGGAAACUUUGGCUAAGACCGUAUACGACCUCCGGGUGAAAGAUUGAUCGCCGGAAGAGGGGCCCGCGUCCGAUUAGGUAGUUGGUGAGGUAACGGCUCACCAAGCCUUCGAUCGGUAGCUGGUCUGAGAGGAUGACCAGCCACACUGGGACUGAGACACGGCCCAGACUCCUACGGGAGGCAGCAGUGGGGAAUAUUGCACAAUGGGCGAAAGCCUGAUGCAGCGACGCCGCGUGAGGGAUGACGGCCUGUUGUAACUCUUCGCACGGACGAAGCGAGAGUGACGGUACCGU